AGCUAGUUGGUGAGGUAAUGGCUCACCAAGGCGUCGACGGGUAGCCGGCCUGAGAGGGUGACCGGCCACACUGGGACUGAGACACGGCCCAGACUCCUACGGGAGGCAGCAGUGGGGAAUAUUGCACAAUGGGCGAAAGCCUGAUGCAGCAACGCCGCGUGAGGGAUGACGGCCUUCGGGUUGUAAACCUCUUUUAGCAGGGAAGAAGCGAAAGUGACGGUACCUGCAGAAAAAGCGCCGGCUAACUACGUGCCAGCAGCCGCGGUAAUACGUAGGGCGCAAGCGUUAUCCGGAAUUAUUGGGCGUAAAGAGCUCGUAGGCGGUUUGUCGCGUCUGCUGUGAAAACCCGAGGCUCAACCUCGGGCCUGCAGUGGGUACGGGCAGACUAGAGUGCGGUAGGGGAGAUUGGAAUUCCUGGUGUAGCGGUGGAAUGCGCAGAUAUCAGGAGGAACACCGAUGGCGAAGGCAGAUCUCUGGGCCGUAACUGACGCUGAGGAGCGAAAGGGUGGGGAGCAAACAGGCUUAGAUACCCUGGUAGUCCACCCCGUAAACGUUGGGAACUAGUUGUGGGGUCCAUUCCACGGAUUCCGUGACGCAGCUAACGCAUUAAGUUCCCCGCCUGGGGAGUACGGCCGCAAGGCUAAAACUCAAAGGAAUUGACGGGGACCCGCACAAGCGGCGGAGCAUGCGGAUUAAUUCGAUGCAACGCGAAGAACCUUACCAAGGCUUGACAUAUACGAGAACGGGCCAGAAAUGGUCAACUCUUUGGACACUCGUAAACAGGUGGUGCAUGGUUGUCGUCAGCUCGUGUCGUGAGAUGUUGGGUUAAGUCCCGCAACGAGCGCAACCCUCGUUCUAUGUUGCCAGCACGUAAUGGUGGGAACUCAUGGGAUACUGCCGGGGUCAACUCGGAGGAAGGUGGGGAUGACGUCAAAUCAUCAUGCCCCUUAUGUCUUGGGCUUCACGCAUGCUACAAUGGCCGGUACAAAGGGCUGCAAUACCGCAAGGUGGAGCGAAUCCCAAAAAGCCGGUCCCAGUUCGGAUUGAGGUCUGCAACUCGACCUCAUGAAGUCGGAGUCGCUAGUAAUCGCAGAUCAGCAACGCUGCGGUGAAUACGUUCCCGGGUCUUGUACACACCGCCCGUCAAGUCAUGAAAGUCGGUAACACCUGAAGCCGGUGGC
This 1181-nucleotide ribosomal RNA is filed under the name uncultured Microbacterium sp. Its description in RNAcentral is "bacterial SSU rRNA". It matches the Rfam family "Bacterial small subunit ribosomal RNA", at positions 243 to 1434 of the family's 1533-position model. The record is from RNAcentral. Lineage: Bacteria; Bacillati; Actinomycetota; Actinomycetes; Micrococcales; Microbacteriaceae.